CCCUUAGAUGUUCUGGGCCGCACGCGCGCUACACUGAUGCAUUCAACGAGUUUUUCCUGGUCCGAGAGGAAUGGGUAACCUUUUGAAAGUGCAUCGUGCUAGGGAUAGACUAUUGCAAUUAUUGGUCUUCAACGAGGAAUUCCUAGUAGACGUAGUUCAUCAGACUGCAUUGAUUACGUCCCUGCCCUUUGUACACACCGCCCGUCGCACCUACCGAUCGAAGGUAAUGAUGAGCCCUCAGGAUUGUGGCCUCGUCGCGUCAGCGUCUUGGCCGCGAGAAUCUGUGCAAAUCCCUACCUUUAGAGGAAGGUGAAGUCGUAACA
RNAcentral lists this ribosomal RNA (323 nucleotides) under uncultured eukaryote. RNAcentral describes it as "partial 18S ribosomal RNA". It matches the Rfam family "Eukaryotic small subunit ribosomal RNA", at positions 1470 to 1796 of the family's 1831-position model. The record is from RNAcentral.